GCUCCCUGAUGUUAGCGGCGGACGGGUGAGUAACACGUGGGUAACCUGCCUGUAAGACUGGGAUAACUCCGGGAAACCGGGGCUAAUACCGGAUGGUUGUUUGAACCGCAUGGUUCAAACAUAAAAGGUGGCUUCGGCUACCACUUACAGAUGGACCCGCGGCGCAUUAGCUAGUUGGUGAGGUAACGGCUCACCAAGGCAACGAUGCGUAGCCGACCUGAGAGGGUGAUCGGCCACACUGGGACUGAGACACGGCCCAGACUCCUACGGGAGGCAGCAGUAGGGAAUCUUCCGCAAUGGACGAAAGUCUGACGGAGCAACGCCGCGUGAGUGAUGAAGGUUUUCGGAUCGUAAAGCUCUGUUGUUAGGGAAGAACAAGUACCGUUCGAAUAGGGCGGUACCUUGACGGUACCUAACCAGAAAGCCACGGCUAACUACGUGCCAGCAGCCGCGGUAAUACGUAGGUGGCAAGCGUUGUCCGGAAUUAUUGGGCGUAAAGG
This 500-nucleotide ribosomal RNA is filed under the name Bacillus sp. (in: firmicutes). Its description in RNAcentral is "bacterial SSU rRNA". It matches the Rfam family "Bacterial small subunit ribosomal RNA", at positions 81 to 566 of the family's 1533-position model. Lineage: Bacteria; Bacillati; Bacillota; Bacilli; Caryophanales; Bacillaceae. The record is from RNAcentral.